Molecule: transfer RNA, 67 nt
Filed under: Nesophrosyne sp. 302 GMB-2012
Lineage: Eukaryota; Metazoa; Arthropoda; Insecta; Hemiptera; Cicadellidae
Description: tRNA-Ser
Source: RNAcentral
AAGGGGGGCAAGUAUAAUAUUAGCUGCUAACUAAAUAUUAAAGCGGUUAAACUCCGUUUUCCCUUUA